CAAGUUAUUUAUGAAAACUGAAAUAAUCAAUGCAAACGUGACAUAAUGAAAAAUACAAUUAAAAAUAAACUACCGUAAUUUACAGAUGAUGAUGGGCGGCCUGCUGAUACAACAAGAACUGCCACUACAAUGCAAGGCAAUUACCACAUUUGCAAGCUAGGGGAGGGAUCAACAUCAUAACAACAACAACACAGCAGAAAGACAGAACCACUGUGGUGUGGAGGCCCGAAUACUUCAUGCCCGAGCCAUGCGCUCUGUUGGUGCUAGAUGACGGGAACCGAGGCCUUGGCAAAACAGGUCCAAUGGCUGCAGUCUGCUGAAAUAUGUAAUCUAUGAGCAUAAAUAAAGUGUGAUCCUGACAGUUAAUUUUGUAUUGGUGCGUCAUCAUGGUCACAUAGGUACCUGCAAGAGGUGGGACCCUCCUGAAAUCUGGUGGUGUAGACUUUGCAUGUAUUACAAAACUCUCCCGCAUUUCUAGUAACAGUUGCUUGUGAGUAUAUUAAAUUGAAGAUUUAGCAUAUCCAAAUGCUACA
Molecule: long non-coding RNA, 533 nt
Organism: Schistocerca americana (American grasshopper)
Lineage: Eukaryota; Metazoa; Arthropoda; Insecta; Orthoptera; Acrididae
Exons: 3
Source: RefSeq, a predicted model, not a curated record